CGGGACGUGGCGCAGCCUGGUAGCGCACCUGCCUUGGGCGCAGGGGGUCGAAGGUUCAAAUCCUUUCGUCCCGACCA
RNAcentral lists this transfer RNA (77 nucleotides) under bacterium. Its description in RNAcentral is "tRNA-Pro". It matches the Rfam family "tRNA". From Rfam's summary of the family: Transfer RNA (tRNA) molecules are approximately 80 nucleotides in length. The record is from RNAcentral.